Molecule: ribosomal RNA, 427 nt
Filed under: uncultured bacterium
Lineage: Bacteria
Description: partial 16S ribosomal RNA
Rfam family: Bacterial small subunit ribosomal RNA
Source: RNAcentral
UGGGGAAUAUUGGACAAUGGGCGAAAGCCUGAUCCAGCCAUGCCGCGUGUGUGAAGAAGGUCUUCGGAUUGUAAAGCACUUUAAGUUGGGAGGAAGGGCAUUAACCUAAUACGUUAGUGUUUUGACGUUACCGACAGAAUAAGCACCGGCUAACUCUGUGCCAGCAGCCGCGGUAAUACAGAGGGUGCAAGCGUUAAUCGGCAUUAUUGGGCGUAAAGCGCGCGUAGGUGGUUUGUUAAGUUGGAUGUGAAAGCCCCGGGCUCAACCUGGGAACUGCAUCCAAAACUGGCAAGCUAGAGUACGGUAGAGGGUGGUGGAAUUUCCUGUGUAGCGGUGAAAUGCGUAGAUAUAGGAAGGAACACCAGUGGCGAAGGCGACCACCUGGACUGAUACUGACACUGAGGUGCGAAAGCGUGGGGAGCAAACA